This 253-nucleotide ribosomal RNA is filed under the name uncultured bacterium. Its description in RNAcentral is "partial 16S ribosomal RNA". It matches the Rfam family "Bacterial small subunit ribosomal RNA", at positions 524 to 776 of the family's 1533-position model. The record is from RNAcentral.
UACGUAGGUGGCAAGCGUUGUCCGGAAUUACUGGGCGUAAAGGGCGCGCAGGCGGCUGGUCAAGUCCGAUGUGAAAUCUCCCGGCUUAACUGGGAAACUGCAUCGGAAACUGCUCGGCUUGAGGGUGGAAGAGGGUAGUGGAAUUCCCGGUGUAGUGGUGAAAUGCGUAGAUAUCAGGAGGAACACCAGUGGCGAAGGCGACUAACUGGCCCAUACUUGACGCUGAGGCGCGAAAGCGAGGGGAGCGAACAGG